GAUGAACGCUGGCGGCGUGCCUAAUACAUGCAAGUCGAGCGGACAGACGAGGAGCUUGCUCCUCUGACGUUAGCGGCGGACGGGUGAGUAACACGUGGAUAACCUACCUAUAAGACUGGGAUAACUUCGGGAAACCGGAGCUAAUACCGGAUAAUAUAUUGAACCGCAUGGUUCAAUAGUGAAAGACGGUUUUGCUGUCACUUAUAGAUGGAUCCGCGCCGCAUUAUCUAGUUGGUAAGGUAACGGCUUACCAAGGCAACGAUGCGUAGCCGACCUGAGAGGGUGAUCGGCCACACUGGAACUGAGACACGGUCCAGACUCCUACGGGAGGCAGCAGUAGGGAAUCUUCCGCAAUGGGCGAAAGCCUGACGGAGCAACGCCGCGUGAGUGAUGAAGGUCUUCGGAUCGUAAAACUCUGUUAUUAGGGAAGAACAAAUGUGUAAGUAACGAUGCACGUCUUGACGGUACCUAAUCAGAAAGCCACGGCUAACUACGUG
RNAcentral lists this ribosomal RNA (497 nucleotides) under uncultured bacterium. Its description in RNAcentral is "partial 16S ribosomal RNA". It matches the Rfam family "Bacterial small subunit ribosomal RNA", at positions 28 to 507 of the family's 1533-position model. The record is from RNAcentral.